This 476-nucleotide ribosomal RNA is filed under the name uncultured organism. RNAcentral describes it as "partial 16S ribosomal RNA". It matches the Rfam family "Bacterial small subunit ribosomal RNA", at positions 334 to 801 of the family's 1533-position model. The record is from RNAcentral.
CACUCCUACGGGAGGCAGCAGUGGGGAAUAUCGCACAAUGGGCGCAAGCCUGAUGCAGCCAUGCCGCGUGUAUGAAGAAGGCCUUCGGGUUGUAAAGUACUUUCAGCGGGGAGGAAGGCGAUAAGGUUAAUAACCUUGUCGAUUGACGUUACCCGCAGAAGAAGCACCGGCUAACUCCGUGCCAGCAGCCGCGGUAAUACGGAGGGUGCAAGCGUUAAUCGGAAUUACUGGGCGUAAAGCGCACGCAGGCGGUCUGUCAAGUCGGAUGUGAAAUCCCCGGGCUCAACCUGGGAACUGCAUUCGAAACUGGCAGGCUAGAGUCUUGUAGAGGGGGGUAGAAUUCCAGGUGUAGCGGUGAAAUGCGUAGAGAUCUGGAGGAAUACCGGUGGCGAAGGCGGCCCCCUGGACAAAGACUGACGCUCAGGUGCGAAAGCGUGGGGAGCAAACAGGAUUAGAAACCCUGGUAGUCCCAUGAU